GCCGCGGUAGCUCAGUGGUAGAGCGCAUCCUUGGUAAGGCUGAGGUCCUGGGUUCGAGUCCCAGUCGUGGCACCA
Molecule: transfer RNA, 75 nt
Filed under: Caulobacter sp.
Lineage: Bacteria; Pseudomonadati; Pseudomonadota; Alphaproteobacteria; Caulobacterales; Caulobacteraceae
Also listed under: 6 other names
Description: tRNA-Thr
Rfam family: tRNA
About the family: Transfer RNA (tRNA) molecules are approximately 80 nucleotides in length. Their secondary structure includes four short double-helical elements and three loops (D, anti-codon, and T loops).
Source: RNAcentral